This 558-nucleotide ribosomal RNA is filed under the name Cladosporium sp. JZ-138. RNAcentral's name for it is "eukaryotic LSU rRNA". The stretch from base 166 to 319 matches the Rfam family "5.8S ribosomal RNA". Lineage: Eukaryota; Fungi; Ascomycota; Dothideomycetes; Cladosporiales; Cladosporiaceae. The record is from RNAcentral.
UGGGGGAAAUUAAGAUGACCCGGUCUACCACCGGGAUGUUCAUAACCCUUUGUUGUCCGACUCUGUUGCCUCCGGGGCGACCCUGCCUUCGGGCGGGGGCUCCGGGUGGACACUUCAAACUCUUGCGUAACUUUGCAGUCUGAGUAAACUUAAUUAAUAAAUUAAAACUUUUAACAACGGAUCUCUUGGUUCUGGCAUCGAUGAAGAACGCAGCGAAAUGCGAUAAGUAAUGUGAAUUGCAGAAUUCAGUGAAUCAUCGAAUCUUUGAACGCACAUUGCGCCCCCUGGUAUUCCGGGGGGCAUGCCUGUUCGAGCGUCAUUUCACCACUCAAGCCUCGCUUGGUAUUGGGCAACGCGGUCCGCCGCGUGCCUCAAAUCGACCGGCUGGGUCUUCUGUCCCCUAAGCGUUGUGGAAACUAUUCGCUAAAGGGUGCUCGGGAGGCUACGCCGUAAAACAAACCCAUUUCUAAGGUUGACCUCGGAUCAGGUAGGGAUACCCGCUGAACUUAAGCAUAUCAAUAAGGCGGAGAGAUCAUUACAAGUGACCGGUCUACCACC